This 542-nucleotide ribosomal RNA is filed under the name uncultured bacterium. RNAcentral's name for it is "bacterial SSU rRNA". It matches the Rfam family "Bacterial small subunit ribosomal RNA", at positions 1 to 535 of the family's 1533-position model. The record is from RNAcentral.
AGGAGGUUUGAUCCUGGCCUCAGGGAUGAACGCUAGGGGGCAGGCCUAAACACAUGCAAGUCGAGGGGUAACAUUUUGUGCUGCCACAAAGAUGACGACCGGCGCACGGGUGCGCACCGCGUAUGAAACCUACCUUUUACAGGGGAAUAGCCUUUGGAAACGAAGAUUAAUGCCCCAUGGAACCUUUUGUAGCAUUACGAGAUGGUUAAAGCCUUCGGGCGGUAUAAGAUGGUCAUGCGUCCCAUUAGCUUGAUGGUAAGGUAACGGCUUACCAUGGCUACGAUGGGUAGGGGCCCUGAGAGGGGGAUCCCCCACACUGGUACUGAGACACGGACCAGACUCCUACGGGAGGCAGCAGUGAGGAAUAUUGGACAAUGGAGGAGACUCUGAUCCAGCCAUGCCGCGUGCAGGAAGAAUGCCCUAUGGGUAGUAAACUGCUUUUAUACGGGAAGAAAAAGGGCCACGUGUGGCCUGUUGACGGUACCGUAAGAAUAAGGACCGGCUAACUCCGUGCCAGCAGCCGCGGUAAUAAGGGCGAAUUC